RNAcentral lists this long non-coding RNA (396 nucleotides) under Gossypium barbadense (sea-island cotton). RNAcentral describes it as "long non-coding RNA (GBAR_LNC007817)". Lineage: Eukaryota; Viridiplantae; Streptophyta; Magnoliopsida; Malvales; Malvaceae. The record is from RNAcentral.
CAACAUCUAGAUUAUCCUCACAAGACAAUAAUACAAAAGCUACAACAUAAUCCAACAGCAGCCUCCAAGUGAAUACAUAAUCAUGUUAUUCUUAAGUUAAUCCUUCGGCUCCGGCACUCACUGGAACAUAAAAAACGGUGACUCUUGAUCGAUCAAUACUCGGGCUAACCUGCCUCGAUCUAUCAGUGCUGCCAACACGUUCCAUUUCCCUUGACUGUUCUCCGGCAGAACGAACCAUUGCGGGUUGGUGCUCCACAAAUGGAUGUACCCGUACUGUCAUAGUUCGAGAUUCGCGGAAUAAAAUAAUUGCUGCUGCUGUGGCUGCCACUAUAUUUUAAGUGCUGCCUACACCUUCCAUUUCCAUUAACUGUUCUCUUGCAGGGAGUACCAUUGCAG